This 433-nucleotide ribosomal RNA is filed under the name uncultured bacterium. RNAcentral's name for it is "partial 16S ribosomal RNA". It matches the Rfam family "Bacterial small subunit ribosomal RNA", at positions 29 to 507 of the family's 1533-position model. The record is from RNAcentral.
AACGAACGCUGGCGGCGUGCCUAACACAUGCAAGUCGAACGAGACCGUCGGGUCUAGUGGCGCACGGGGGCGUAAGGAGUGGGAAGCUACCCUUAGGUUCGGAAUAACUCCCCGAAGGGGGUGCUAAUACCGGAUAAUGUCUUCGGACCAAGGAGUUAUCGCUUUUGGGUGGGCGCGGGUUGGAUUAGCUGGUUGGUAGGGUAAAAGCCUACCAAGGCGACGAUGCAUAGCUGGUCUGGGAGGAUGACCAGCCACAAUGGGACUGAGACACGGCCCAGACUCCUACGGGAGGCAGCAGUGGGGUAUAUUGGACAAUGGGCGAAAGCCUGAUCCAGCAAUGCCGCGUGAGUGAUGAAGGCCUUAGGAUUGUAAAGCUCUUUUACCCGGGAUGAGAAUGACAGUACCGGGAGAAUAAGCUCCGGCUAACUCCGUG